GACGAACGCUGGCGGCGUGCUUAACACAUGCAAGUCGAACGGAAAGGCCCUGCUUUUGUGGGGUGCUCGAGUGGCGAACGGGUGAGUAACACGUGAGUAACCUGCCCUUGACUUUGGGAUAACUUCAGGAAACUGGGGCUAAUACCGGAUAGGAGCUCCUGCUGCAUGGUGGGGGUUGGAAAGUUUCGGCGGUUGGGGAUGGACUCGCGGCUUAUCAGCUUGUUGGUGGGGUAGUGGCUUACCAAGGCUUUGACGGGUAGCCGGCCUGAGAGGGUGACCGGCCACAUUGGGACUGAGAUACGGCCCAGACUCCUACGGGAGGCAGCAGUGAGGAAUAUUGCACAAUGGGCGGAAGCCUGAUGAAGCAACGCCGCGUGCGGGAUGACGGCCUUCGGGUUGUAAACCGCUUUAGCCUGUGACGAAGCGUGAGUGACGGUAAUGGGUAAAGAAGCACCGGCUAACUACGUG
RNAcentral lists this ribosomal RNA (468 nucleotides) under uncultured bacterium. Its description in RNAcentral is "partial 16S ribosomal RNA". It matches the Rfam family "Bacterial small subunit ribosomal RNA", at positions 28 to 507 of the family's 1533-position model. The record is from RNAcentral.